AGCGAACGCUGGCGGCAGGCUUAACACAUGCAAGUCGAACGCAUCACUUCGGUGGUGAGUGGCAGACGGGUGCGUAACACGUGGGAACGUACCCUUCGAUCUGGGAUAACUUCGGGAAACUGGAGCUAAUACCGGAUACGCCCUUUUGGGGAAAGGUUUACUGUCGAAGGAUCGGCCCGCGUCUGAUUAGCUAGUUGGUGGGGUAACGGCCUACCAAGGCGACGAUCAGUAGCUGGUCUGAGAGGAUGAUCAGCCACACUGGGACUGAGACACGGCCCAGACUCCUACGGGAGGCAGCAGUGGGGAAUAUUGGACAAUGGGCGCAAGCCUGAUCCAGCCAUGCCGCGUGAGUGAUGAAGGCCUUAGGGUUGUAAAGCUCUUUUGUCCGGGACGAUAAUGACGGUACCGGAAGAAUAAGCCCCGGCUAACUUCGUG
This 435-nucleotide ribosomal RNA is filed under the name uncultured bacterium. RNAcentral's name for it is "partial 16S ribosomal RNA". It matches the Rfam family "Bacterial small subunit ribosomal RNA", at positions 29 to 507 of the family's 1533-position model. The record is from RNAcentral.